This 270-nucleotide ribosomal RNA is filed under the name uncultured archaeon. RNAcentral describes it as "partial 16S ribosomal RNA". It matches the Rfam family "Archaeal small subunit ribosomal RNA", at positions 477 to 747 of the family's 1478-position model. The record is from RNAcentral.
CAGCUCUUCGAGUGGUGUCCAUGAUUAUUGAGCUUAAAGCGUUCGUAGCCUGCUUGGUAGGUCCCUGCUUAAAUCCGGUCGCUCAACGGUCGGUCUGGUAGGGAUACCGCCUUGCUUGGGGACGGGAGACGGCAACGGUAUUCCAUAGGUAAGGGUGAAAUCUAAUGAUCUAUGGAGGACCACCAGUGGCGAAGGCGGUUGUCGAGAACGUGCCCGACGGUGAGGGACGAAACCCAGGGGAGCAAAUCGGAUUAGAUACCCGAGUAGUCC